GUCAAUACGAUCCGAUCAAUUACGAGAUAUGGAAUUGUGUCAAUCUCGAUCAUCGAUCAUAUCUUUCAUUCCACUAUUAAGUCAAUAUAAAUCGAAAACUCCUUUUCGACUUAUGAGUACACCUUGGCCAAGGAUUUCAUCAUCGACUUAAUUGAAUGAAACGCAGAUUAUCUCCUACUAUCUAAGAGUGACGAAUCCUUUAUUGAUCAAUCACAACCUUCAUACGAUUCUUGACGUACCCGAACGAUGUCGUAUUAGCGGCCCUUUUCAGAGCAACAUCCAACACCGCCAAAGUAUGACUGUCCUCAUAUAGGGUACUAUGACGACCUCAAGUCAAAGGAUCAAUCCCACUAUCGAACGUUAGAGAUUAGCCACUGACACUCAGAUAGUUAUCCAUGUGGAAUCUCUUAGCGGGUCUCCAAUGUUUUGUUCUACAACAAAACAUCCACAUGUUCAUUUAAGUGUCACCACACUUUAGCUCGUGAGAUCAGCUACUUACUUCAUAAGUAAGAAAUGCCACACGUGAUGGUUUAACUGUAUUAACGAUAUCCGUAUCUCGUUAUUACUUACGACCAUGGUUUAUUCAAGAUCCAAUUAUAUGUAAUUUGUAUCUCACAAUCACAAUUCCUUGUGAUUAACAGAUUACCUAAAAAUUGGGUCUUAGGAUUCUAUUAUUUAAUAUUAUUUAUUACAAAAUUAAUUUAAAUAAAUAAUAGAUCUCGCCAAAAUCAAAUGCAUUAAAUAUAUUAAAAGCGUUUACAACCUAAAUCGAUUGGAUUUAGGGCAUAACACUUACACCUAUGUUGCUGAGUGUGGAUAAUUGUUCAACCCGGGUGAAGAAAACGUGAUCCUUUUAAAUGCGCCUCUUCAAUUAAUUGAUUCUUGAUCAGGCUGUACACUUGGCCAUCUUCCAACCGUUGAUCUGUGGCUUUUUGAUUAAUUGCUUAAAGUAGUGUUUGGCCAUUCAUUUUAGAGACGGUUGAACUUUGUGUUUUAGGGUUUUCUCUCCACUUCCUCUCUAAUCACACUGUAUAUUCUUUGUGAGUUUCUUGAUUUGAAAAUCUGAGUGAUUUUGAGAUUCUACACUUGAUGUAUACUGUGAGAAAGGUUCUUAGUGAUUUGGUGUGGUUUUGUACUAUGUGUUGAAGCUAGAGGAAACAUCGAAGAAAUCUCUGAUUUCUUCGUACAUAUUGUAACUUUUCUUGGUGAUUUCUUAGUGGAUCUAGAGCUUUAUCGACUUGUGAAUGCUCAACGGGUGAGUAGGUCGUAAGACUGAACAUUCGGACCUUUUGUGGUGAAAAAUUCCUCGUGUUCUUGAUUCUUUUUAAGUUACUGCAAUUUUAAUAUGUUUUAUUUCUGAAAAUACAAUUUUAAACUAGAUCGUGAUACCAACAGAACCCAGAUGAAAAAUGCAUAUUCUAGUUCUCAAAUAACCUUCACUCUUCGUUGUUUGCUAUCAUAUGAGAAAGAGUACCCAUUAUGAGAUUUAAAUUUCUUGGAACCUUUUUCUUUUUAUUCCAUAUCAUUUCAUUCAAUCAGGCAUUUUCUGUACUUCAAUUUAGUUGGAGACAACAUGUCUUGAACUUCAACUACAACUUGAAAGGUACAAUCUAUUUUCCUAAUGUUAUAGUUAAGUUUAUUCAUCAGUAAUUAAUGACUCUUGUUGAUUCUUCAAGAUAUGUGCCAGUAAGCAGAAUCCACACGACAAUGAAAAUGAAGUAGAGAAGUUGCACAAAAGUUUUGCUCAGAAUUACGGGAGAAUAAAUUGAACAGGCAAGUUUAUAACAAUAGACUCAAUAAGGGUAAUGGAAAAAAUUUGACAUGUUGGUUAAUUUGUUGACAGUAAAUUUGUAAUCUCCGUAGCCAGACUUCCCCUUGACAUGUGUGUAAAAAAUUUCAUAUUGCUAAUGUUGUUUUCCUCUAAAUUUCUGCAAAUAUACUCCGAUAUUGUUUUAUUUGAUAGCUAUGUAGUCUUUCAUAUUCAAAGAUCAUAAAC
RNAcentral lists this long non-coding RNA (1996 nucleotides) under Olea europaea subsp. europaea. Lineage: Eukaryota; Viridiplantae; Streptophyta; Magnoliopsida; Lamiales; Oleaceae. The record is from RNAcentral.